Molecule: ribosomal RNA, 408 nt
Filed under: Triticum aestivum (bread wheat)
Lineage: Eukaryota; Viridiplantae; Streptophyta; Magnoliopsida; Poales; Poaceae
Description: partial small subunit ribosomal RNA
Source: RNAcentral
AUGGUGUUGCUUGACAUUAGGGCUAUGUUGCAGUCCAUGGGUAAAGACAUUAUCGAUUUCACUCUUCUAACCAUUGAUGAUGUGUUUGACCCAACUGAGGGCGAGGCCAGAGAGAUCAUCGAGGAAUCAACCGUUGAGUUUGAUGAAAGUGACACUAAAUUUUCAUCUUCCUUGAAUUUGGAACAAAGGGCCGCAUACGACGAGAUACUAUUGGCUGUUGAACGAGGUGAUGGGGGUGUAUUCUUUAUAGAUGGCCCUAGAGGUAUAGGGAAGACCUUCCUCUACAGGGCGAUACUCGCAAAGGUGAGGGGCGAGGGCAAGAUUGCUAUCGCUACCGCGACGUCGGGCGUCGCUGCUUCUAUCAUGCCUGGCGGUAGGACUGCCCACUCGAGGUUCAAAAUCCCACUA